RNAcentral lists this ribosomal RNA (430 nucleotides) under uncultured bacterium. Its description in RNAcentral is "partial 16S ribosomal RNA". It matches the Rfam family "Bacterial small subunit ribosomal RNA", at positions 338 to 795 of the family's 1533-position model. The record is from RNAcentral.
CCUACGGGAGGCUGCAGUAGGGAAUUUUGGGCAAUGGGCGAAAGCCUGACCCAGCAACGCCGCGUGUGGGAUGAAGGCCCUCGGGUCGUAAACCACUGUCAGGAGGAAAGCGGUACCUCCAAAGGAAGCACCGGCUAACUCCGUGCCAGCAGCCGCGGUAAUACGGAGGGUGCAAGCGUUGUUCGGAAUUACUGGGCGUAAAGCGCGUGUAGGUGGUCGAGUAAGUCGAAUGUGAAAGCCCCGGGCUCAACCCGGGAAGUGCAUCCGAAACUGCUCGACUAGAGUCCCGGAGAGGAAGGCAGAAUUCCCAAUGUAGGGGUGAAAUCCGUAGAUAUUGGGAGGAUACCGGUGGCGAAGGCGGCCUUCUGGACGUACUGACACUCAGACGCGAAAGCGUGGGGAGCAAACAGGAUUAGAUACCCUUGUAGUC